RNAcentral lists this transfer RNA (74 nucleotides) under Bifidobacterium longum subsp. longum. RNAcentral describes it as "tRNA-Leu". It matches the Rfam family "tRNA". Rfam says of the family: Transfer RNA (tRNA) molecules are approximately 80 nucleotides in length. Lineage: Bacteria; Bacillati; Actinomycetota; Actinomycetes; Bifidobacteriales; Bifidobacteriaceae. The record is from RNAcentral. RNAcentral also lists the same sequence under 5 other names.
GCUUUCGUAGCCCAACCGGUAGAGGCAAUGCGCCAAGGACGCAUCCAGUCCGGGUUCGAAUCCCGGCGAAAGCA